RNAcentral lists this transfer RNA (82 nucleotides) under Omnitrophica bacterium RIFCSPLOWO2_12_FULL_50_11. RNAcentral's name for it is "tRNA-Leu". It matches the Rfam family "tRNA". From Rfam's summary of the family: Transfer RNA (tRNA) molecules are approximately 80 nucleotides in length. Their secondary structure includes four short double-helical elements and three loops (D, anti-codon, and T loops). Further hydrogen bonds mediate the characteristic L-shaped molecular structure. tRNAs have two regions of fundamental functional importance: the anti-codon, which is responsible for specific mRNA codon recognition, and the 3' end, to which the tRNAs corresponding amino acid is attached (by aminoacyl-tRNA synthetases). tRNAs cope with the degeneracy of the genetic code in two manners: having more than one tRNA (with a specific anti-codon) for a particular amino acid; and 'wobble' base-pairing, i.e. permitting non-standard base-pairing at the 3rd anti-codon position. Lineage: Bacteria; Pseudomonadati; Candidatus Omnitrophota. The record is from RNAcentral.
GCUGGAGUGGCGGAAUUGGCAGACGCGCACGAUUCAGGGUCGUGUGGGUAACACCGUGGGGGUUCGACUCCCCCCUCCAGCA